Molecule: ribosomal RNA, 253 nt
Filed under: uncultured bacterium
Lineage: Bacteria
Description: partial 16S ribosomal RNA
Rfam family: Bacterial small subunit ribosomal RNA
Source: RNAcentral
AACGUAGGAGACAAACGUUAUCCGGAGUUACUGGGCGUAAAGGGCGUGUAGGUGGUUUCGUAAGUCUGGCGUGAAAUUUCUCGGCUUAACCGAGGCAGGUCGUCGGAUACUGCGAGGCUAGAGGACGGUAGAGGCGUGUGGAAUUCCGGGUGUAGUGGUGAAAUGCGUAGAGAUCCGGAGGAACACCAGUGGCGAAGGCGACACGCUGGGCCGUACCUGACACUGAUGCGCGACAGCAUGGGGAGCAAACAGG